AUCAUGGCUCAGAUUGAACGCUGGCGGCAGGCUUAACACAUGCAAGUCGAGCGGAGAGAGGUAGCUUGCUACUGAUCUUAGCGGCGGACGGGUGAGUAAUGCUUAGGAAUCUGCCUAUUAGUGGGGGACAACAUUUCGAAAGGAAUGCUAAUACCGCAUACGUCCUACGGGAGAAAGCAGGGGAUCUUCGGACCUUGCGCUAAUAGAUGAGCCUAAGUCGGAUUAGCUAGUUGGUGGGGUAAAGGCCUACCAAGGCGACGAUCUGUAGCGGGUCUGAGAGGAUGAUCCGCCACACUGGGACUGAGACACGGCCCAGACUCCUACGGGAGGCAGCAGUGGGGAAUAUUGGACAAUGGGCGCAAGCCUGAUCCAGCCAUGCCGCGUGUGUGAAGAAGGCCUUAUGGUUGUAAAGCACUUUAAGCGAGGAGGAGGCUACUUUAGAUAAUACCUAGAGAUAGUGGACGUUACUCGCAGAAUAAGCACCGGCUAACUCUGUGCCAGCAGCCGCGGUAAUACAGAGGGUGCAAGCGUUAAUCGGAUUUACUGGGCGUAAAGCGCGCGUAGGCGGCUAAUUAAGUCAAAUGUGAAAUCCCCGAGCUUAACUUGGGAAUUGCAUUCGAUACUGGUUAGCUAGAGUGUGGGAGAGGAUGGUAGAAUUCCAGGUGUAGCGGUGAAAUGCGUAGAGAUCUGGAGGAAUACCGAUGGCGAAGGCAGCC
This 716-nucleotide ribosomal RNA is filed under the name Acinetobacter sp. CMG3032. RNAcentral describes it as "bacterial SSU rRNA". It matches the Rfam family "Bacterial small subunit ribosomal RNA", at positions 16 to 726 of the family's 1533-position model. The record is from RNAcentral. Lineage: Bacteria; Pseudomonadati; Pseudomonadota; Gammaproteobacteria; Moraxellales; Moraxellaceae.